UUAACACAUGCAAGUCGAGGGGCAGCAUUUUAGUUUGCUUGCAAACUGAAGAUGGCGACCGGCGCACGGGUGAGUAACACGUAUCCAACCUGCCGAUAACUCCGGAAUAGCCUUUCGAAAGAAAGAUUAAUACCCGAUGGCAUAAUAGAGCCGCAUGGUUUGAUUAUUAAAGAAUUUCGGUUAUCGAUGGGGAUGCGUUCCAUUAGGCAGUUGGUGGGGUAACGGCCCACCAAACCUUCGAUGGAUAGGGGUUCUGAGAGGAAGGUCCCCCACAUUGGAACUGAGACACGGUCCAAACUCCUACGGGAGGCAGCAGUGAGGAAUAUUGGUCAAUGGACGAGAGUCUGAACCAGCCAAGUAGCGUGAAGGAUGACUGCCCUAUGGGUUGUAAACUUCUUUUAUAUGGGAAUAAAGUGGUCCACGUGUGGAUUUUUGUAUGUACCAUAUGAAUAAGGAUCGGCUAACUCCGUGCCAGCAGCCGCGGUAAUACGGAGGAUCCGAGCGUUAUCCGGAUUUAUUGGGUUUAAAGGGAGCGUAGGUGGACAGUUAAGUCAGUUGUGAAAGUUUGCGGCUCAACCGUAAAAUUGCAGUUGAUACUGGCUGUCUUGAGUACAGUAGAGGUGGGCGGAAUUCGUGGUGUAGCGGUGAAAUGCUUAGAUAUCACGAAGAACUCCGAUUGCGAAGGCAGCUCACUGGACU
Molecule: ribosomal RNA, 699 nt
Filed under: uncultured Bacteroidales bacterium
Lineage: Bacteria; Pseudomonadati; Bacteroidota; Bacteroidia; Bacteroidales
Description: bacterial SSU rRNA
Rfam family: Bacterial small subunit ribosomal RNA
Source: RNAcentral